CCUUUGACGUUAGCGGCGGACGGGUGAGUAACACGUGGGUAACCUACCUAUAAGACUGGGAUAACUUCGGGAAACCGGAGCUAAUACCGGAUAAUAUUUCGAACCGCAUGGUUCGAUAGUGAAAGGUGGUUUUGCUAUCACUUAUAGAUGGACCCGCGCCGUAUUAGCUAGUUGGUAAGGUAACGGCUUACCAAGGCUACGAUACGUAGCCGACCUGAGAGGGUGAUCGGCCACACUGGAACUGAGACACGGUCCAGACUCCUAGGGAGGCAGCAGCC
This 278-nucleotide ribosomal RNA is filed under the name uncultured Staphylococcus sp. RNAcentral describes it as "partial 16S ribosomal RNA". It matches the Rfam family "Bacterial small subunit ribosomal RNA", at positions 83 to 355 of the family's 1533-position model. The record is from RNAcentral. Lineage: Bacteria; Bacillati; Bacillota; Bacilli; Caryophanales; Staphylococcaceae.